AUUCUGCGUGGUUUUUUGCGCAAAAUGGAUUCAACCUUGAACGAUAAAAAACAUAUUUUUGCAGCAAGACUGGAGUGAAAAAUGGCCAUCAAUUUCAAGAACGGCAUAGUCUCUGUGUCGUGAUGUUCGUGCAAAAGCAAUUCAACGUUUGCCUGGUGGCAGCACUCGCGCUGCAGGUGUUCUUGGCCUCAGCGUCACCGGUGCACCCACCGAGCGCAGAAGAUGCGGAAGAGCAAGAGGAUGUGGAUGCACAACUGAAGACCCGUGGUAUUUGGGAUUCCUUCUCGGCACCUUCACCGUCGGCGGCCCUCAAUGCCGUUGACUCCGGUCUCCGAUCGGUCCGCGACCAGGGCACCCGCGCGGUCCGCACCGCAGCCGGCGCCGGAACUGAGCUCGCCACCGGUAUCAACCCCAACACCGUCUACGAGAUGGGUCAAGAAGCCAUGAAGAAGGCCAUCCGCGGCGCCCGCUACGGAACCGAGGUAGUUUACGAUGCAGCGGACAAGACCCUGGACACCGUCCAAUCCCUCCACGACAAGAAGAAGGACCUCGUUGAAAGCUACGUGAAACCCGUGGCCCCCGACAUGGUGAACAACGUCAUCGACCGCGUCAACACCGGCUUCGACUCGACAUUGGCCUCGAUCAAGGACCGCGUCCACCAAGGCCGCUCCGUCGCCCAGAGCACCCUGGACAAGCUCGAAGAGAAACUCGAGAACGGUGAGUCUAUCAUGCCCAGCGCCGUCCAGAACGGAGUGCAACGCGUCGGGAAGAUGCUCGCCCCGAUGGCCGACUCAGUCCAGGGCUGGAUGAACGGCUGGAUGCAACCCACCGCCGGCGCAGCAGCCCCAGCGAAACCCAUGACCGAUGAAGAGAUCCAAGUCGAAGACGAGAACAUGUUCGCCGAUUACGCCAAACCCACCCGCACCGACAGAGUCGAGGAGGCCAUGAGGGCGGCCAAGGCAGCUGAAGAGGCCAGGAUCAAGGCAGCCGAAGAGGCCAAGGCAGCCGCGGAGGCCAAGGCAGCUCAAGAGGCCAAGGCAGCCCAGGAAGCUAUCCCGACUAACCCCAUGCCACUCCGCAGGAUGAGAUCCCAGGCAGGAAUCAGAGCAGGAGCUCCUGGAAUCCGUUCUCGUUCUUUCAGAGGCUCCCGCCUGGGUAUGGGCGGUCGUUAAGUUUUGAGCGAGUUUAGUUCAAGCGUUUUCCAGAAAUAUACAACUAGUAGAUCGAGUAGGGCCUCAAAGAAAAUUAUAUUUUCUGUUUGUUCCACCACUUGAUGGCUGUAGAUUUGGAGCCAAUAAAAAUUUAAAGUUUCGAGCAUGCAACGAAGAUUAUACUUACCAAGAUUGCUAAAGGAGUACAAAUUAGUCUCAAAACGUAAUCUGACACUGAUCAAUAACGCCGAACAAGAAAUUAAAAUCUUAAAUAAAAAUGGCAAAUUCACAACCUGCAUUCCACAAAUAACGCCGCAAUUAGAGGGUAAAAUGCGUGAUCCGACAAGACUGACUCCUUUCAAGAUCAAAUUACAUAAAUAAAUGAAUAUAGGAACAUUCGAAUAUUUACUAAUCCGCGUUUGCCUCAGAUGAUGUGUUGGUAACAUAAAAUAAUGUGGGGUUUCCAAUUAAACACCCGCACAGAGACGGCUUCCGCUUUGUUCUCUUUCGGCUGCAAUGUGGAAUAGAGUUUUAUGUGGCGUACUCCGUAUACUGGUUGAAUAUUUGUGGUCGUUUCUGAAGAGAAAGUUCCUACAGUAUUAGAUCGUUUUUUCUUUCUUCUUUUAAAAACAUUUCGCAGUAUUUCCAGUUUUCCGUUUUUCCUCGCUUUCUUUGAGUGGUUCAUGACUUCAGUCCGUUUCCUUGGCUGAUUUGUGAUCAUGGCCUUGUGUGCAAUUUUUUUUUGAUGCGUGAAUUUUUCUACUAAUAAAGAUUCUGAUCCCCUUUGGGUGAUACCAAAUAUUUUGCCUUUCAUUUUCUACAACUCUCUAAUAUCCGAAAACCGCUCAAACUCAAAAUUGUUCAAAUUAAAAAUAGUACACUCUUGUACUGAAUAGUGCAGCCAAGACUACUUUUCCUCGAUGAAAAAUAGCCUCAUUCAAAGAAGUAUAUUUGUCUUUGAAGCAGCCAUAUAUUACCUCUAAAAAAAUAAAAUAGAUAUCAUCGUUGACAGCCUGAGUUCUGUUUACGGAAACCAAAAUUAUUUAGGGAAAAGCAAAAUCUCAGGUGUCCUGA
RNAcentral lists this long non-coding RNA (2225 nucleotides) under Bemisia tabaci. Its description in RNAcentral is "lncRNA ENSSSA2NGG000290". Lineage: Eukaryota; Metazoa; Arthropoda; Insecta; Hemiptera; Aleyrodidae. The record is from RNAcentral.